GUGAGCGCCCGCCUCUGGAGGACAUGCGCCGGGGACUCGACACGUGAUCCGCUCGCCACAAUCCAGUAUGGCGGAAUCCGUCGGCGAGUGGAUCCGUGGUUGGCGCGCUCUCCAACGGGAAUAAAGUCCGGAGCGUUGCAUCCGAUCGCGGCGGAGCUGCGGAGAGGGUACAUAAUUAACAGUGCUGGAUGACUCAUGGAGAUUGGCAGAUUGCACCGUUUGCCGCAUCUGUGGCUGAAGAGGAAAGAGAGGGAGAAUUUGGCUCUAGCCGCUCUUACAUGAUACUUAGCAAGGAAAAGCUCUAACAGGAGACGGGGCGUAACUGUAGGAGUUCAAUCUUAUCGAGCAAAGAGGAACCGACACACAGAGCUGGAUUACGGCCAGAGGGGGCGCUAUGGGCCUCUGAGAUUGUCCUUUCUUUCCUGUCCCGUGCCUCUUUUGACUCGUCUUCCCAUUCAGCAGUGGAUGGUGACCAGCCAACAAGCCCCAGAGGA
Molecule: long non-coding RNA, 494 nt
Organism: Sinocyclocheilus grahami
Lineage: Eukaryota; Metazoa; Chordata; Actinopteri; Cypriniformes; Cyprinidae
Exons: 3
Source: RefSeq, a predicted model, not a curated record